Molecule: ribosomal RNA, 375 nt
Filed under: Chilon sp.
Lineage: Eukaryota; Metazoa; Arthropoda; Arachnida; Opiliones; Assamiidae
Description: partial large subunit ribosomal RNA
Rfam family: Archaeal large subunit ribosomal RNA
Source: RNAcentral
GCCUCCUGAAGAAUAUGAGGUAAGGCCUGCUCAGUGUUAAACAGCCGCAGUACCCUGACUGUGCAAAGGUAGCAUAAUCAAUUGCCUCUUAAUUGGUGGCUAGUAUGAAGGGCUAAACUGGCUAGAAGGUCUUAGCCCUUGAACUUAGGUUAGGGGUAAGAACACCUCUAUCAACCCCUAGGACGAGAAGACCCUAGGAGCUUCAAGUGGCUUUUGGUUGGGGCGACUAAAAAAGAUAAAGAACUUUAAAUUAGCUACCCUAGGGUUAACAGCGUUAUAUAAAGCUUGAGUACUCAUUGGGCUUUAAGCUUACGACCUCGAUGUUGAGUUAAGAAGUGCAGGGGCUUUAGUCUGUUCGACUAAUAACCACUUACA